UUUUGGUGAAGGUUGCAGUAACGCGAAUUCAGUUUUAUGAGGCAAAGCGAAUGAUUAGAGGCCUUGGGGUUGAAACAACCUUAACCUAUUCUCAAACUUCAAAUAUAUAAGAAGCCCUUGUUGCAAGGUUAAUUGAACGUGGACAUUAGAAUGAUGCGUUAGCAGAACUGGUGAUGCGGGAUGAACCG
RNAcentral lists this non-coding RNA (188 nucleotides) under Penicillium vulpinum. Its description in RNAcentral is "Eukaryotic large subunit ribosomal RNA". It matches the Rfam family "Eukaryotic large subunit ribosomal RNA", at positions 962 to 1170 of the family's 3401-position model. The record is from Rfam by way of RNAcentral. Lineage: Eukaryota; Fungi; Ascomycota; Eurotiomycetes; Eurotiales; Aspergillaceae.